AUGAAGACACUGGUCUCCAAGCUGUGCUCCCCGGCCGGCCAAGAACCAGGCACCCCCACCCCGAGGACAGCAGCAGAGGCUGGGCUGAGCGCCCAGGCCCUCAAGGAGAUGGCCGCAGGCACCAAGAGCAUCGCCCUCAUCGCAGCCACCCGUCGCUCCAGGGCACAGGACCCUGAGGGCAGCAGUGGCCGCUCCUCCCUCCACCCUCCAGAGGAGGCGGCUCCAGACCCCAAGGACCCCAAGCCCAGCAUCACCCCAGAGACGAGCCUGGCCGAUAGGAAGUGGCUGCAAGCCAGCCCGGGCAGGGCCCGCUCUGCAGAGAGGAAGGCCAGGGGGAAACCGUCGCCCCCUGUUACGAGGAGAGUCCAGCCGGCAACAGAAAAACUUCAGCCACCCUCCACGGAUCACAUAGCUGAGAGCCAGCCGCCCCCUGCACUCCCUCAGCUGUCAAAGUCUCCAGGAAAGAGCUUUCUCCCUGCUGUCCCUUCAGCCUCUAAGAUGAAACCCAGCCUCAGUUUUCAUGCAGGGUCUACGGACAGCGGAGGCCGACGUCACAGCCCACUGCCUCCCAGCCACCCCUGCAAGCGCCAGGGCGGCAGCGCCAAGAGGCCACGAAGACCAAAGUAAAGAUGGCGGCAGGCAGAGCAGGUGGAGAGAAUGUCUUGGGUCCCGGGGUAUCUCUGCCCCGAACCUGGACUUGAGAGACAGGAACUCUGCCAGGGACGCUUCAGGGGCAGCCUGCCCCAUGUAUGCUUCCUGCAGCCCCAUGCAUAGGUCCGGUGGCUGCCUCACCAACCACCUUCAGGAGAGGGCUGUCUAGGGAGCAUCAGAUCCCUUCCCAGAGACCUCAAGCCUUUGGGGGCCAUUCCCACUCAUGGGUGCUCUUCCCUGGAUCACCCCACUCUGCGGUUCCUGAUCUGGAAGCACCUUCUCCCAGAAGGGGAGACUCUAGGGGCUGGAACACUAGGGUCUCAUCCCCAGGUCAGGGACUUCUUACCUGAACAGCUCCUGGCAAGAGGCAGGAGAGAACGUGUCUCCAACACCCACGUACUAGCUGAGGUUCUCCAGAGAAAGAGAACCAGAGGGGAGUGUGUGUGUACAUCUGUGAAUGUGUAAGUGUGUGUGGAUGGGAGUCUACACAAAACAGGGAGGGAAAGAGAGAGACUGAGAUCUACUGGAAGAAAUUGGCUCAUGUGGUUGUGGGAGCCUGCAAGUCUGCAGGGCUGGCUGGAGGCCCAGGGGGGGCUAGUCGAUGCUUCAGCCUGGAGUGUGAAGGGCAUCUGGAGCCGAAUUCCCUCUUCAGAGGUCCCCUCCGGGGACCUCAGUGUUUUUAAUCUGUCUGCUUUCAGCUGAUUGGACAAGGCCCACCCAUAUUAAGAAGGCUCAUCUGCUUUACUCAAAGUCUACUUACCAAUUUAAAAGUUAAUCUCAUCUAAAAAAUACCUCCCUUGUGAUACUGAGAUUGGCAUUUGACCAGACAUCUGGAUCCGUGGGCCAGGCCAGUUUGAUACACAAUUAACCGUCUUGCCCCACAGGCCCUGGCCAGCCUCCAGAGUGACACUGGUCCCUGCAGUCAUGGGCUCCCAGGGAAACACAAGAAUGCGCUCCCACUGCCAUGACCUACCCA
Molecule: long non-coding RNA, 1627 nt
Organism: Bos indicus x Bos taurus (hybrid cattle)
Lineage: Eukaryota; Metazoa; Chordata; Mammalia; Artiodactyla; Bovidae
Source: Ensembl